GAUGAACGCUGGCGGCGUGCCUAAUACAUGCAAGUCGAGCGAACAGACGAGGAGCUUGCUCCUCUGACGUUAGCGGCGGACGGGUGAGUAACACGUGGAUAACCUACCUAUAAGACUGGGAUAACUUCGGGAAACCGGAGCUAAUACCGGAUAAUAUAUUGAACCGCAUGGUUCAAUAGUGAAAGACGGUUUUGCUGUCACUUAUAGAUGGAUCCGCGCCGCAUUAGCUAGUUGGUAAGGUAACGGCUUACCAAGGCAACGAUGCGUAGCCGACCUGACAGGAUGAUCGGCCACACUGGAAGAGAGACACGGUCCAGACUCCUACGGGAGGCAGCAGUAGGGAAUCUUCCGCAAUGGGCGAAAGCCUGGCGAAGCAACGCCGCGUGAGUGAUGAAGGUCUUCGGAUCGUAAAACUCUGUUAUUAGGGAAGAACAAAUGUGGAAGUAACUAUGCACGUCUGGACGGUACCUAAUCAGAAGGCCACGGCUAACUACGUG
This 497-nucleotide ribosomal RNA is filed under the name uncultured bacterium. RNAcentral's name for it is "partial 16S ribosomal RNA". It matches the Rfam family "Bacterial small subunit ribosomal RNA", at positions 28 to 507 of the family's 1533-position model. The record is from RNAcentral.